RNAcentral lists this ribosomal RNA (253 nucleotides) under uncultured bacterium. RNAcentral's name for it is "partial 16S ribosomal RNA". The stretch from base 27 to 253 matches the Rfam family "Bacterial small subunit ribosomal RNA", at positions 105 to 334 of the family's 1533-position model. The record is from RNAcentral.
CAAACCAAAGCUGGCGACCGGCGCACGGUGAGUAACACGUAUCCAACCUGCCUCAUACUCGGGGAUAGCCUUUCGAAAGAAAGAUUAAUAUCCGAUAGCAUAUAUUUCCCGCAUGGGUUUUAUAUUAAAGAAAUUCGGUAUGAGAUGGGGAUGCGUUCCAUUAGUUUGUUGGGGGGUAACGGCCCACCAAGACUACGAUGGAUAGGGGUUCUGAGAGGAAGGUCCCCCACAUUGGAACUGAGACACGGUCCAA